This 257-nucleotide ribosomal RNA is filed under the name uncultured prokaryote. RNAcentral's name for it is "partial 16S ribosomal RNA". It matches the Rfam family "Bacterial small subunit ribosomal RNA", at positions 524 to 780 of the family's 1533-position model. The record is from RNAcentral.
UACGGAGGAUGCAAGCGUUAUCCGGAUUUAUUGGGUUUAAAGGGUGCGCAGGUUGUUUGAUAAGUCAGUGGUGAAAGUCUGUCGCUUAACGGUAGGAUUGCCAUUGAUACUGUUGGACUUGAAUAUGGAUGAGGUAGGCGGAAUGUGUAGUGUAGCGGUGAAAUGCUUAGAUAUUACACAGAACACCGAUUGCGAAGGCAGCUUACUAAUCCAUGAUUGACGCUGAGGCACGAAAGCGUGGGGAUCAAACAGGAUUA